ACCUGCCCACUGAAAAUUUUAAAUGGCUGCAGUAAUUUGACUGUACAAAGGUAGCAUAAUCAUUAGUUUUUUAAUUAAAAGCUUGUAUGAAAGGUUGGACGAAGUAAAAUCUGUCUCUUUUUAAUAUAAUUAGAAUUUAAUUUUUAAGUAAAAAAGCUUAAAUUUUUAUAAAAGACGAGAAGACCCUAUAGAGUUUAAUAAUUUUAAUAAAAUAUUUAAUCAAGAUUUAUUAAUUUUAUUUAAUUAAAAUUAUUUUAUUGGGGUAAUAAAAAGAUUAAAAAAAUUCUUUUUUUUUAAUACAUUAAUUUAUGAAUAUAUGAUCCAUUUGUAGUGAUUAAAAGAUUAAAUUACCUUAGGGAUAACAGCGUAAUUUUUUUAAAGAGUUCUUAUCGAUAAAAAAGUUUGCGACCUCGAUGUUGGAUUAAAGAUUAAUUUAGGUGUAGAAGUUUAAAUUUUUGGUCUGUUCGACCAUUAAAUCUUUACAUGAUCUGAGUUCAAACCGGUGUAAGCCAGGUUGGUUUCUAUCUUUAUUAAUUUUUUAUAUUUUAGUACGAAAGGACCAAAUAUAAAAUAUAUAAAUAUUUUUAUUUUGAAUAUUAUU
RNAcentral lists this ribosomal RNA (601 nucleotides) under Trechisibus antarcticus. Its description in RNAcentral is "partial 16S ribosomal RNA". It matches the Rfam family "Bacterial large subunit ribosomal RNA", at positions 1857 to 2769 of the family's 2925-position model. The record is from RNAcentral. Lineage: Eukaryota; Metazoa; Arthropoda; Insecta; Coleoptera; Carabidae.